This 200-nucleotide unclassified non-coding RNA is filed under the name Diplodia sp. Its description in RNAcentral is "partial internal transcribed spacer 2". The record is from RNAcentral. Lineage: Eukaryota; Fungi; Ascomycota; Dothideomycetes; Botryosphaeriales; Botryosphaeriaceae.
UUAAGUUCAGCGGGUAUCCCUACCUGAUCCGAGGUCAACCUUGAGAAAAGUUCAGAAGGUUCGUCCGGCGGGCGACGCCAGCCGCUCCAAAGCGAGGUGUAUUCUACUACGCUUGAGGGCUGGACAGCCACCGCCGAGGUCUUUGAGGCGCGUCCGCAGAGAGGACGGCGCCCAAUACCAAGCAGAGCUUGAGGGUUGUA